AUACACCAUGGAAUACUAUGCAGCCACAAAAAGAUAACGAGAUCAUGUCCUUUGCGGGAAUAUGGAUGAAGCCGGAAGUCAUAAUCAUCAGCAAACUAACACAGGAACAGAAAACCAAACACUACAUGUUCUCACUUAUAAGUGGGAGCUGAAUGAUGAGAACACAUAGACACAUGGGGCGAACAAC
Sapajus apella (tufted capuchin) is the source of this 187-nucleotide long non-coding RNA. RefSeq lists it as uncharacterized. NCBI's taxonomy places the organism in Eukaryota, Metazoa, Chordata, Mammalia, Primates, Cebidae. The record is from RefSeq and is a predicted model, not a curated record. The transcript is spliced from 3 exons.